GUGUACACUGUGCUUGCCGUGGCCAUGUUCUCACACUGACUGUACGGAAAGAGGAGGUGAAGUAAACUCUUCUCUGCACACCCCAGUCCAGGCCACUUGCCUGCUCUGUAUUGUGAAUAGGGCAACAAGA
Molecule: small nucleolar RNA, 130 nt
Organism: Talpa occidentalis (Iberian mole)
Lineage: Eukaryota; Metazoa; Chordata; Mammalia; Eulipotyphla; Talpidae
Product: small nucleolar RNA SNORA51
Exons: 1
Source: RefSeq, a predicted model, not a curated record